This 486-nucleotide ribosomal RNA is filed under the name uncultured bacterium. RNAcentral's name for it is "partial 16S ribosomal RNA". It matches the Rfam family "Bacterial small subunit ribosomal RNA", at positions 30 to 507 of the family's 1533-position model. The record is from RNAcentral.
AUUGAACGCUGGCGGCAUGCCUUACACAUGCAAGUCGAACGGCAGCACGGGUGCUUGCACCUGGUGGCGAGUGGCGAACGGGUGAGUAAUACAUCGGAACAUGUCCUGUAGUGGGGGAUAGCCCGGCGAAAGCCGGAUUAAUACCGCAUACGAUCUACGGAUGAAAGCGGGGGACCUUCGGGCCUCGCGCUAUAGGGUUGGCCGAUGGCUGAUUAGCUAGUUGGUGGGGUAACGGCCUACCAAGGCGACGAUCAGUAGCUGGUCUGAGAGGACGACCAGCCACACUGGGACUGAGACACGGCCCAGACUCCUACGGGAGGCAGCAGUGGGGAAUUUUGGACAAUGGGCGAAAGCCUGAUCCAGCAAUGCCGCGUGUGUGAAGAAGGCCUUCGGGUUGUAAAGCACUUUUGUCCGGAAAGAAAUCCUUGGCCCUAAUACGGUCGGGGGAUGACGGUACCGGAAGAAUAAGCACCGGCUAACUACGUG